UGGGGAAUAUUGCACAAUGGGGGAAACCCUGAUGCAGCGACGCCGCGUGAACGAAGAAGGUAUUCGUAUCGUAAAGUUCUGUCCUAUGGGAAGAUAAUGACAGUACCAUAGAAGAAAGCUCCGGCUAAAUACGUGCCAGCAGCCGCGGUAAUACGUAUGGAGCGAGCGUUGUCCGGAAUUAUUGGGCGUAAAGGGUACGCAGGCGGUUUAAUAAGUAGAAUGUUAAAGAUCGGGGCUCAACCCCGCAAAGCAUUGGAAACUGAUAAACUUGAGUAGUGGAGAGGAAAGUGGAAUUCCUAGUGUAGUGGUGAAAUACGUAGAUAUUAGGAGGAAUACCAGUAGCGAAGGCGACUUUCUGGACACAAACUGACGCUGAGGUACGAAAGCGUGGGGAGCAAACAGG
RNAcentral lists this ribosomal RNA (403 nucleotides) under bacterium. Its description in RNAcentral is "partial 16S ribosomal RNA". It matches the Rfam family "Bacterial small subunit ribosomal RNA", at positions 355 to 776 of the family's 1533-position model. The record is from RNAcentral.